GGGAAGAUGACUCCGAAAGAACAUAAAACCUGUCUGCUAAGUUGCUUUGCCCUUUUGCCAUGUUCUCUCUGGCAUGGAGCAGGAUGAAGGAGGAUGUUCAGCAGGAAUAGGUGUGCCCUGUCAGCAAAUGGUCCAUGGUGUGGCCUCCCCCCAAGUCUCCCCAUGCUCUCCAUGGCAGAGGAAGCACAGCUGGCUGUAGCCUGCAGAACUGACAGCUCCAGGCUGCUCACUGUGCCCUGGGGAGGGGAAUCAGAGCAGGACAGAUCAGUCAGUGCCAUGGAAGGUUGAGGGGUUUUAGAGUACUGUUUUUUAGGAUGCAACUUUAAGGGAAUCCAUCCAGUUAUAGAGUGUCAGCAGCUCUCACAGAGGCGGGAGAUGCACUGCUGGAGCUGUUCCAGUCACCCUGGUGUGUCACCAUACUCAAACCCCUCCCAGGACCAGCCCUUUGCCAACUUGCUCUGCUGUGUUUGAGGGGAAGCCGUGUGAGGACACUGAGGGCACUUGUGUGACCUCUGCUUUCCCUGCAGUUUAAUCCAGGAGAUCUCACUUCACAGCACUGGUGACAUCUGAAGUGCUCAGCAACAUAUGGAAAUUAAGAACAACCCUGAAUUGCAACAUUUUCUACCUUUCACUCCCCUAAGGCUGCUGGAAGCCACAUUGCUCAUUGUUUCAGCUGUGUGCAAGUGUUAGAAUUCAAACUGCUAAUCAAAAGCAAUCGUUAAAGACAGAGAUGGAUUAAAACUAGUUUAAUAAAUAA
Long non-coding RNA from Pseudopipra pipra, 757 nucleotides. RefSeq lists it as uncharacterized. NCBI's taxonomy places the organism in Eukaryota, Metazoa, Chordata, Aves, Passeriformes, Pipridae. The transcript is spliced from 2 exons. The record is from RefSeq and is a predicted model, not a curated record.